UACGUAGGCAGCGAGCGUUGUUCGGAGUUACUGGGCGUAAAGAGUGCGUAGGUGGUUUUCUAAGUUUGGUGUGAAAUCUCCCGGCUUAACUGGGAGGGUGCGCCGAAGACUGGAAGGCUUGAGUAUGGGAGAGGUAAGCGGAAUUCCUGGUGUAGCGGUGAAAUGCGUAGAUAUCAGGAGGAACACCUGCGGUGUAGACGGCUUACUGGACCAUAACUGACGCUGAGGCACGAAAGCGUGGGUAGCAAACAGG
This 253-nucleotide ribosomal RNA is filed under the name uncultured bacterium. RNAcentral describes it as "partial 16S ribosomal RNA". It matches the Rfam family "Bacterial small subunit ribosomal RNA", at positions 524 to 776 of the family's 1533-position model. The record is from RNAcentral.